UUUAGGUUAGUACAUUUAGUUGCUUUAGGUUAGUUGAUUUAGUUGCUUUAGGUUAGUAGAUUUAGUUGCUUUAGGUUAAUUAGUUGAUUUAGGUUAGUUGAUUUAGUUCCUUUAGGUUAGUAGAUUUAGUUGCUUUAGGUUAGUUGAUUUAGGUUAGUUGAUUUAGUUGCUUUAGGUUAGUAGAUUUAGUUGCUUUAAUUAGGUUAGUAGAUUUAGUUGCUUUAAUUAGGUUAGUAGAUUGUAGAUUGUAGGUUAGCUUUUUUUAGGUUAGUAGAUUGUAGGUCAGAUUUUAGGCUACUUUUUUAUAUUAAGAAGAAAAUAAGAAAAAGUAGAAGUGAAGAGGAAAAAGGAAAAUAAGGAAAAUGAAGAAGAAAAAGAAGACAAGAGGAAGAAGGAAAAGAAGGAAGAAGAAGAAAAAGAAAGAUCAAGGGGGAAAGGAGUUUAUUUUAGGUUAAUUUAGUUAGGUUAGAAUAAGUAGAAGGUGUUAGUUAGGUUAGUUUGAUUUUCUAGGUUAGUUUAAUUUUCUAGGUUAGUUAGGUUAGUUAUCUUUAGACUAGGUUAGUUAGGUUAGUUUCUAGGUUAGUUUAUAGGUUAGUUAGGUUAAGUAGUUUGACGGGUUUUGGUUAUGUCAUUUUGUUCUCCAAGAGAUGAUACUUGGCAAGAUAACCAAAUAUGGCAUUUUUUACAUGCUAGAAUUUUCUUGGAAUUUAUAGAGAAUAUUUCCUAUGUAAAUAUUCCAAAAGCUUGAAAUAUCAGAAAAG
RNAcentral lists this long non-coding RNA (761 nucleotides) under Triticum aestivum (bread wheat). RNAcentral's name for it is "long non-coding RNA (TAES_LNC024102)". The record is from RNAcentral. Lineage: Eukaryota; Viridiplantae; Streptophyta; Magnoliopsida; Poales; Poaceae.